Manis javanica (Malayan pangolin) is the source of this 4035-nucleotide non-coding RNA. NCBI's taxonomy places the organism in Eukaryota, Metazoa, Chordata, Mammalia, Pholidota, Manidae. The record is from RefSeq and is a predicted model, not a curated record.
ACCAGCUGUAGCUGGAGCCUGGCAUACACAAGCCUCUCCUGAAAGGGGGCUGGGGGAAGCGGGAAACGGCAGCCUCAACAGCAGGAGCCAGGGAUGACCUGGAAGGCUUGAGUUCUGGAGGUGGGACCAGCCAGCCUUGAUCACAAGCUAAGAUGGAACUUCAUCUUCCUAGGUCAGUCCGGGGGAACACGGGAUGUCUUUGAAGAGCCAAACUGUGUGGAUGGAGCAGGAGGGAAGAUUUACAGGUGCCUCCUGUGUGCUGCCUGUCGAGUACAGAAGAGAGGAAGGGAAGUCGUCCUCCCAGGAGAGGUGACAAGAGUGGCUUCUAGUCCCUGCUCCAUCACCUGCUAGCAGCCUGGCGUACAGUAAGCACGUUAAUCCUUGUGGACUCAAAAUGACAACUGAGGAAUACUGAUUUAACAGUCGGAAAGCUGGACUAUCUGGGAAGAGAGGCCUUGGUGAACAUCUCAACUGGAAGUGCCAUACCUGAUGAUAGGAAGGAAAUGAGCUUGAACACUUCUUGGCAUUUGCAUAGCAAUGUGAUUCUUUUAAAUGCUCUUUCAGGUGUAGUCUUGUUUCUGAUCUGGGCGUUCCUUGGUGAAAUGGAAGAGAUGUUCAGUACCCUAUUCAGCCAGCAGCCAGUGUUAAGAAUCUGCACUGAGGGUUAUGAGGAAGGAGACCGACAUUCAGAGAGGGCACAUAGUGCCUGAAGUCACACAGCAUCCUUUUCAGGAUAUUCUUCUCAGAUAAAAUUUCUAAUUGUGUUUAUGCUUGUGACAACCUAAACAAACAGAAAAAGGCACCAGGUCCUCCUCACUUCCUCAUUCCUCCAGCUACCAUCCCAGUGGUGGUCAAGGGUUGAGGAAGGGCAAGAGGGAGCCUGGAGCACAGGGAGAAAACUGACUGGUAACUUUGCAGACUCUUCUAUGGAACUAGACAGGGACUGGGCCUGAGCCAGCUUUCAGGUAAGAAGCAGCUGAGAAAGGUGCAGAGUAAGCAGGACACAGGAAGAGGGAAGUAGAGAAAAGGAAGAAAAAGGCAUUUUGGCUGAAGCUCCAAACUGAACCUACUAUGUCUUGUGUCCAGCCACUGGACCUUCAAGGGAGGCCAGCCCAUCUCAGAAAAUGACACAGGUAACAACUAGAGAAAAGAGUCAUACAGGAAACAACAAUACACCUGACAAAUAGCAAUCAUUGUGUUUAAAUAGAGUUCUGAGUACACCUGUUUAAAUCUAUCAUCCUUGCAUAAGCAGUAUGGCCUUCAUUAGUAGGUAACCCACCUAGUGAAAUAAAUCUCUUUUGGACACUUUGACACUUCUGCAAAGCAAAUAGAGCCAUAAUUUUCUAAAGACCAAAUACAUCUGGAUGAAAACCAAUGUAUCUUUUGCAAGGGUCAGUUCCUCCCCAUUCUGUGUGAAUCGGUGUUUCCCAAAGGUUGCCACUUAAAUCAAUGCAGAUUUAUUUCUUAUGACUCCACCACGUAUUUCCAGAGGACUCUUCUGGCAAUGCCCCUUUGUAUCAAAAUCUGGUUAUAACAGCUCAGCCUGGCCUCAGUAAGUUAUCACUGCUGUCCACUGCCAGCUGUGACCUCAUUUUACUCCAGCACCUGUUUUAUUCUUUGCUCUACAAUUAGUAGACUUCAGACUGUAUCGUUCUCCUUUUUAUUAGCAGGUUUCCCUUUUCUGGCAGCCUUUUCACAAAAACCAUUUAGAACUUCCACACUGUUUACCACAAGGCAUCCCCAAAGUGUCUGUAGAAAUGACCUGGUAGAUUAACUUGGAAUUCUUCAGAACUCCAAUCAGCUGAAGCUGUCCAGAUCAAUUAACAUAUAUUCAAAGUUUGCAAAAAUGCCUGAUUUCAAAGGUUGGGAAAAGUAAGGAUUUCAGAUUUAGGACAAGCUUAGCCAUAAUUCUUGAUAAGAACAUUCCCUCUCUAAAAUUUUAUAACAAUUCUCUGUAUUGUAAUAUUCAUUCAAGAUAGAGUGAGAGGGCUUUUGGAAAACGACCCUUAAAAAAAUAUUACCCAGUAGAUGGUUUCCACAAACGUGAAAGUGAAACAGGAAAAAAAAAAUCACUAUUUUAGGUACCUGAUACAUUCUGGCAUGAUAUUUGAAAAACAUGCUGUUUUAAAAGAAAUUUUUCCAUGAGGAAACCUGAAUACUCUGGAUAGAAAUUUCCAGAGAUAAAUAAAAAGCCCACAUCUUCACAAGGAAUGCUAACUGAAGUCAAUGAUAUUUAGGGGGAUGAUCACUUAAUUCCGAAUGGCCCAAGAUUGGCCAUCCUUUUUACUGUAGAUGCGACACACUUUGUUAGACAUGGCUUGACCUACAUUUGGCUGGUGCCUCAGCCUGCUCCCUAAAAUAUAUCCAAUUGAUAUUUGUGAACACCUACUAUGUACAAGACAUUUCCAGUAGGCACUGUGGGGCAGUUAAGUAUAAGGCUGGUUCCUGCCUCACAGCAUCUGUCAUCACUCCAAAGGCAGCAUACAUGAAAAUAACUAUAUGAGAUAUGUUGACAGUUUAAUACCACAACUGGUCUCAAGAAAUACAGGAAAGCUGAAGAGAGGAAGAAUAUUCAUUAGCAUCUGAGCAAAAUGUGACAUUUGUUAGUGAACUGAACAGUGUGGUUUCUAUUCCUGGACCUAUGAGGUGUCACCAUUCAGCUAUUCCGCUGGUGUUCAGGGUGCGGUGGGGUUGAGUUCAGAGAUCAUUAAAGCUCUUAGUAAAACAAACACAAAGUUUCUCCCUGAGGGAGGUGCCUUUGAGCCCCUACAUCCACAAACAAUAGCCUCCAGCAUAUUUCCAGGUAGGAGUCAAUUCUUCUAAUCCUAGCCUUACGAAAAGUUAUUAUAAUGUUCUACAACUUUUUCUUCUAAAGAUUUGGAAAAGCUAUAAUGGGUUUUCCUGCUCUAGAGCUUUGAUUGUCAGUUAAUUUCCUAAUUUGGAGCUAAUUACUAAACUGCUUAAAAACUUAAAGCACAGGCAAUUGUCUACUGACAAGCUUUCCAUUUAUCACCAUAGUGUCUCAGAACAUGGCCCUUAGCCAAGAACAGAGGCUGCCUUUUCUACCACAGAACAGACUACUCCUUGUCAGUGUGUCUCUGCCAAAUGGUUUCUUGGCCAUCAUUAUCCAACUUGCUAUCUUCAUAAGUUAAAGUUAUAUAGGAAUUUGAAGUCUUUUAAAGAGCUGGGAGAAACUUUCAGAGUUAAUGCUACAUAAAGCAAAACUAUAAACCACAUAUUUUUCCGUCUGGGGAUUUUUACUAUAAAAGCAGCUUAAUUCAUGGACAUUUGGAGAAAGCCUUGUGUUCCAACUUUCUUUGGUGGCUUCCUUAGCUAAUUGGUUCUUCAUUUUACUUAUUUUUUUUCUCUCAUUUUUGGAAAUAGUGCAGCCCAGUUUUUGUUUUGUUUUAUUCUAAUGGAUAAUGAAGUUGGACAGUGGUCAUGCUGUUAAGAAGUAUCUGUUAGCUUAACUGUGAGUUAGGUUCUUACCAAAAGUAAUGGAAAAUGCAGUUUUAUCAGCUUUGAAAAGUGAGCAGUAUCUCUGGUAACAGGAUAAUGGAGGUGAUAUUUUUAAAUGAUAUAAAAAGACAUAUGCUAUUUAUCAGUUUCUCAAGCUAUGUCUGGAGGGUCCUUUCCUAGCUCAGGCCUGCUAUGGAACAUGUGAACAGUGCCCCAGAGAGCUGUGCAACCAGCUAACCAACACCACCCCCAAGCUUACUAUUUAAAGAGCCACUUUUACCUCAUUUGGUAUUUCUUGUAACAUAAUUCCAGUUUUUACUAAAAAUACAUAUUUCAUAUAUGCAUGGAAAAAGAGUAGGAAUAAACAAAAAUGUUAACAGCUGAAUCACUACAAAAAGAGAUGUAUGUUUUUGAUGCUUUUCCUCAUUUUCAAUAAAGAUCAUAUAGUAUAUAAUCAGGAGAAAGUAGGACAUGUCAUUUCAGUAAGUUCUGAAAAUCCCACCUUCUCCAGGAAGCAAUACAUGACUGAAAGUUUUUUGGUUUCUUUUUCUUUUUAUGCUUUCACUCCAAUGUGGA